Schistosoma mansoni is the source of this 45-nucleotide non-coding RNA. Lineage: Eukaryota; Metazoa; Platyhelminthes; Trematoda; Strigeidida; Schistosomatidae. The record is from Rfam.
AUCCAGCUGACGAGUCCCAAGUAGGACGAAACGUGCGUCCUGGAU